Molecule: ribosomal RNA, 417 nt
Filed under: uncultured bacterium
Lineage: Bacteria
Description: bacterial SSU rRNA
Rfam family: Bacterial small subunit ribosomal RNA
Source: RNAcentral
UAUUGGUCAAUGGGCGCGAGCCUGAACCAGCCAAGUCGCGUGAGGGAGGACGGCCCUACGGGUUGUAAACCUCUUUUGCCGGGGAGCAACGGGCGUCACGUGUGGCGCCACUGAGAGUACCCGGCGAAAAAGCAUCGGCUAACUCCGUCCCCGCAGCCGCGGUAAUACGGAGGCUGCGAGCGUUAUCCGGAUUUAUUGGGUUUAAAGGGUGCGUAGGCGGAUCGUUAAGUCAGUGGUCAAAUUGAGGGGCUCAACCCCUUCCCGCCAUUGAAACUGGCGAUCUUGAGUGGAAGAGAAGUAUGCGGAAUGCGUGGUGUAGCGGUGAAAUGCAUAGAUAUCACGCAGAACUCCGAUUGCGAAGGCAGCAUACCGGCGCUCAACUGACGCUGAGGCACGAAAGCGUGGGGAUCGAACAGG